UCUAACUAAUUAAAUAGCAUGCGUAUAAUUGUGGGGAUAUGGCCCAAGAGUUUCUACCAAACACCGUAAAUUGUUUGACUACGCAGGAUAAAGCAGACAUG
RNAcentral lists this non-coding RNA (101 nucleotides) under Virgibacillus sp. Its description in RNAcentral is "Guanine sequence". It matches the Rfam family "Purine riboswitch aptamer". From Rfam's summary of the family: Riboswitches are metabolite binding domains within certain messenger RNAs that serve as precision sensors for their corresponding targets. Allosteric rearrangement of mRNA structure is mediated by ligand binding, and this results in modulation of gene expression. Lineage: Bacteria; Bacillati; Bacillota; Bacilli; Caryophanales; Bacillaceae. RNAcentral also lists the same sequence under 1 other name. The record is from RNAcentral.